UACGGAGGGGGCGAGCGUUAUUCGGAAUUAUUGGGCGUAAAGGGCGCGUAGGCGGCGCGAUAAGUCAAAGGUGAAAUCCCUCGGCUCAACUGAGGAACUGCCUUUGAGACUGUCGAGCUCGAGGCCGGGAGGGGGUAGCGGAAUUCCGAGUGUAGAGGUGAAAUUCGUAGAUAUUCGGAAGAACACCAGUGGCGAAGGCGGCUCACUGGCCCGUUACCGACGCUCAGGCGCGACAGCGUGGGGAGCAAACAGG
RNAcentral lists this ribosomal RNA (253 nucleotides) under uncultured bacterium. RNAcentral describes it as "partial 16S ribosomal RNA". It matches the Rfam family "Bacterial small subunit ribosomal RNA", at positions 524 to 776 of the family's 1533-position model. The record is from RNAcentral.